This 503-nucleotide ribosomal RNA is filed under the name uncultured bacterium. RNAcentral's name for it is "partial 16S ribosomal RNA". It matches the Rfam family "Bacterial small subunit ribosomal RNA", at positions 30 to 523 of the family's 1533-position model. The record is from RNAcentral.
AUUGAACGCUGGCGGCAGGCCUAACACAUGCAAGUCGAACGGUAGCACAGAGAGCUUGCUCUCGGGUGACGAGUGGCGGACGGGUGAGUAACGUCUGGGAAACUGCCCGAUGGAGGGGGAUAACUACUGGAAACGGUAGCUAUUACCGCAUAACGUCGCAAGACCAAAGUGGGGGACCUUCGGGCCUCACACCAUCGGAUGUGCCCAGAUGGGAUUAGCUAGUAGGUGGGUAAUGGCUCACCUAGGCGACGAUCCCUAGCUGGUCUGAGAGGAUGACCAGCCACACUGGAACUGAGACACGGUCCAGACUCCUACGGGAGGCAGCAGUGGGGAAUAUUGCACAAUGGGCGCAAGCCUGAUGCAGCCAUGCCGCGUGUAUGAAGAAGGCCUUCGGGUUGUAAAGUACUUUCAGCGGGGAGGAAGGCGGUGAAGUUAAUAGCUUCACCGAUUGACGUUACCCGCAGAAGAAGCACCGGCUAACUCCGUGCCAGCCGCCGCAGUAA